AUAUUUCAUGGAUUCCUCAAAAUGUGCUGCCUUGAUCUCUGCCACCUCAUCCUCAACAUCUUCCUCCAUAGCCUCAGGGUUCUCUUUUUGCCUCCUCUCCUUCUCAAUAUCCUACAAAAUACAGAUCCAAAAUAAGUAUCUGUGUAACAAGACAGCUAACUAGGGAAAACAUAAGAAGAUGGUAGCAUUAAAAAAAUCUGAAGCAUACUUUCUCAAUGUUCUCUCUUAUGGCAUAUUUGCAAGCACGCUGGCAUAUUUCUGUAAUAUCAGCACCACUGAAACCCUGUGUGUACUUGGCAAGUGCUCUGAGGUCAACAUCUUUGGAGACUGGUGAUUUCCUCAAGCAAGAUUUGAAUAUUUGAAAGCGUGACUCCUCAUCAGGAAGAGGGAUAUAGAUCAACUGAUCAAGACGCCCAGGACGCAAUAGGGCAGGGUCUAUGAUGUCGGGUCUGUUUGUGGCCCCAAUUAUGAAAACAGUUUUCUUUGCAGUCAUG
Molecule: long non-coding RNA, 494 nt
Filed under: Populus trichocarpa (black cottonwood)
Lineage: Eukaryota; Viridiplantae; Streptophyta; Magnoliopsida; Malpighiales; Salicaceae
Description: long non-coding RNA (PTRI_LNC003667)
Source: RNAcentral